GAUGAAGAACGUAGCGAAAUGCGAUAAGUAAUGUGAAUUGCAGAAUUCAGUGAAUCAUCGAAUCUUUGAACGCACCUUGCACCCUUUGGCAUUCCGAAGGGUAUGCUCGUUUGAGUGUCAUUGUACUCUCACUCUCCCGAUGCUUUUGGAUCGGGAGUGGUGGACUUGGGUGUUGCUGCUUUGCUGUGGCUCGCCUCAAAUGGAGUAGUGCAACUCUUGGUUGGACAUAGUACGGCGUGAUAAGUGUCUUCGCCGGCGCCUCAUUAUAGAGGGUGGCCGAUCGGGAGCUCUGUGCUUCAACCCGUCUUCGGACAACAUCUGACAACUUGACCUCAAAUCGAGUAGGACUACCCGCUGAACUUAAGCAUAUCAAUAAGCGGAGGA
RNAcentral lists this unclassified non-coding RNA (384 nucleotides) under soil metagenome. RNAcentral's name for it is "partial contains 5.8S ribosomal RNA, internal transcribed spacer 2, and large subunit ribosomal RNA". The stretch from base 1 to 120 matches the Rfam family "5.8S ribosomal RNA", at positions 35 to 154 of the family's 154-position model. The record is from RNAcentral.